Molecule: ribosomal RNA, 439 nt
Filed under: uncultured bacterium
Lineage: Bacteria
Description: partial 16S ribosomal RNA
Rfam family: Bacterial small subunit ribosomal RNA
Source: RNAcentral
CUACGGGCGGCUGCAGUGAGGAAUAUUGCACAAUGGGGGGAACCCUGAUGCAGCAACGCCGCGUGGAGGAUGACGCAUUUCGGUGUGUAAACUCCUUUUAUAUGUCAAGAAAACGACGGUAGCAUAUGAAUAAGCACCGGCUAACUCCGUGCCAGCAGCCGCGGUAAUACGGAGGGUGCAAGCGUUACUCGGAAUCACUGGGCGUAAAGGACGCGUAGGCGGGUUGGAAAGUCAGGUGUGAAAUCCUACAGCUUAACUGUAGAACUGCACUUGAAACUUCUAAUCUAGAGUAUGGGAGGGGGGGAUGGAAUUAGUGGUGUAGGGGUAAAAUCCGUAGAUAUCACUAGGAAUACCUAAAGCGAAGGCGAUCUCCUGGAACAUUACUGACGCUAAGGCGUGAAAGCGUGGGGAGCAAACAGGAUUAGAUACCCCUGUAGUC